GAUUUCUGGUAUGGUGCGCCUGGCCCACGGUUGCAAAACCGCGAGUGUCGGUGUGCGCCUGCCAUCUUUCUAGUUAACUGGACGCACUUAACUGGGCGGUCAGCGAUCUAGAUCUUUUACUUUGAAAAAAUUAGAGUGUUUAAAGCAGGCUUGCGCUAUGAAUACAUUAGCAUGGAAUAAUAAUUUAGGACUUUGAUCCUAUUUUGUUGGUUUUAAGGAUUAAAGUAAUGAUUGAUAGGGAUAGUUGGGGGUGCUAGUAUUCACCGGCCAGAGGUGAAAUUCUUGGAUUCGGUGAAGACUAACUUAUGCGAAAGCAUU
Molecule: ribosomal RNA, 318 nt
Filed under: uncultured Paracercomonas
Lineage: Eukaryota; Cercozoa; Cercomonadida; Cercomonadidae
Description: SSU rRNA
Rfam family: Eukaryotic small subunit ribosomal RNA (bases 58-318)
Source: RNAcentral